UGUACAAUUGAAUAGGUGCUUCCUCCUGGA
RNAcentral lists this small RNA (30 nucleotides) under Bombyx mori (domestic silkworm). Its description in RNAcentral is "piRNA piR-bmo-2010647". Lineage: Eukaryota; Metazoa; Arthropoda; Insecta; Lepidoptera; Bombycidae. The record is from RNAcentral.